RNAcentral lists this long non-coding RNA (2580 nucleotides) under Arabidopsis thaliana (thale cress). Its description in RNAcentral is "potential natural antisense gene, locus overlaps with AT2G42830 (AT2G42835)". Lineage: Eukaryota; Viridiplantae; Streptophyta; Magnoliopsida; Brassicales; Brassicaceae. The record is from RNAcentral.
GUAAAAGUUAGGUCAAGACACUAUGACAGGUUUUGGCCGUUAUACUAUAAAUCAUGGUGAGAAAUGCAUGAAUGUAUUAAGUCUUGCAGAAAGCUUGGGAGGAGCUGCUGACAAUGGAAUUGAGGAAGAAAAGUCUCGUUGAAUUCAUUAGAAAAUGGUACAUCUCUUAGCUCCAUUUGUUUUCAAAUAUCUUCUGCCAUUUCUGUUGUUGCAGGUUUUCGACGCAGAAUGAGAAUGAUUAAAGGUCAAGGGUUCUAAAAUCCAAAAACAUUAUGACACAAAGUUCUACUAAUAGUUCCAUCUUAUGAUGCAGCAUGAUGUCCUUUCAUAGUUUUAGAGUGUUAAUACAGGAACUUCUACAAGCAGGAUUUAUUGCUGUUGAAGAUCUUACACAUCUUCUUGUCCCUCUAUGACAUGACGCUGGGACUAAGAUCCUGAUCCACUGAACUUUAGCAAGACUCUCAAAUUCACAAGGGUUUUCAUUUCAGUUGCCUUGUCUUAGUAAACCUGAGGUACCAUCUACGAUCUCUUUCUUGUAAAUUUAUGCAUUACCUUAGAAAGUGAAAAAUCCUGAGCUGAUUUAGAAGGAUAAAGAGACUAUAUCCUCUGCAGUUUGAAAACAAAAGGGGGAAAAAGGUUUGGCCUAUAUAUAUCGCUUAUAUCUUCCAUGUCCAUGAUUUAGAAUUUAGAAAGAUCUUAAUUAGAUGUAACUUGGGAUCUAUCUAUGCAUAUGCAGCUUUUGCAUCUCAAACUGCAUCUCAAUAGUCUUGUUGAAAUUGCAUAUGCUUUUUUUACGUCACAUCAACACAUUUUGAUUUGAAUAUGCAACACUAACUAGCAAUAAAUCCCAUUUUAUUUUUGGAUCUCUUGUCUUAGCCUUAACUUACAUAAUCAAGAUAUAUGUAAAUUAUUAGGUCCCUCUCAAAUCGUUACCAUCUGCAUUUUAAGUUUUUUGACAGUAAGUGUAACAUGAAUAUAUAUAUGCAUAAGAUCGAUCUCAGGCUGAGGAAAGAAGCUUAUGUUAGACUGAAUCAAACAAGUUGCAGAGGUGGUUGGUCUUGGUUGGAGGAAUUCUGAUUCGGUUCAAGAAGGUUAACCGCAAUAUAAUUCCGGUUAUACUGCCCCGACUGGUGAGAAGAAGUAACACCCGACUCGUAAACUGUCCCUUGAUGUAUCACACUCGAUUCUUGUUGCUGUAGACCUGUUCUUUCAGUAAUCUGCAGAGAUAUUUAGAAUUUGCACAUCAAGAGAUUGUCUACCGGAAAAAAAUGAUGAUCAAAAAUGCCAAAAAGAGUUAUGUAUAAAACCUUGGAGCGGAGAUACAUGUUAUCGUUUUGCAGCUCGAUUUCCUACAAUGCAAGCGACAACAGAAAAUAAAAAAAGAUGAUCAUCAGAAAGAGAAGUUGCUAAUAAAGUAGGGGGUAAGUUACUUGUGAAGGAAGAUAGGUUUUACUUUUACCCUUUUUUGCAUGUAUUCAAUCUCUGCAACUAACAUCUCGUGCUGGAGAGAAAAACCAAAUAUAACGGGCAAGAAUCAGAUGGAUAUAUAUUCAAUGAUAAGGAGAUUGAUGGAGAGUUAGUGAUUGUACCUUCUUGGAUCGGACACGACUGAUUCCUUUCUCAAGCCUACUUUCAAGGUUCUUGAGUUCCUUAAAGUUCAAGGAACCAAGAGAUUCACCAAGAAUGUGUCUGUUCAAAUUCUGAAUGUCCCGAAUCUGUCUCCGGAGUUUAGACGCCUCUUGCUGAUAGUACUUCAUCAAUUUCGAUCCCAUCAUUGUUACAAGAGGUGAAAAAAAGGUCAGAUAACUAAAAGAAGAAGAAAUUAAGUAAUUAACGAACUAGCUAGCUAGGUGUAUUAAUUAAAAGCUAACCUGAGUAUUAGCUUCGGUGAUGGUCGGAGGGUUAACGGCGUCGGAGCAAGCUUUCUUGUACCUUUCUAUUGUUCCUCUCACACUUCAUCAACAUUCACACAAAGGAAAAGAUUUUAAAAUGCAAUCUUUUUUGUGGUAGCUAUAUAUGUAAAUAGAUGCAAUCGGUGAAAAUCUCAAACUUAAACCACCACAAGUAAAACAAAGACACACGAAACUAUAACUGUUGGAUUCAAACACUAAAACCAGAAGAGAAAAAAAUAUAUAUAUAUGAAGUCGUUAAAGAAAUUGAUAUUUUUAUCUUCUGGAUAUACAAAACACACAGAAAGACGGAUAUUAAGGUUUUGAAAAUAAAGUUUUGUCCGCCCAAAACCUUAAAUUCAACCGACAAAAUAGUGAAUGGACCAGUACCAUAUAGUAUAUGAUUUGUUUGCCCUUCUUUUUUUGGGAUAUUAUUGUUAUUGCCUAUUAUCUAUUAACAGUGACAUCUCACAAAGUUAUAUAUAUAUAUAUAUAUGUAUAAUCAAAGUUCGAGAAGACCCUAAUGUGUACUUCCCCAAAAAAGUGUAAUCCUAAUUUGAAAACAUACAAAAGAAAGAAGUAGCAAAUCGGAGAAGAAAAUAAAAAGAAUUUGAAUUGCAUAUGCUCUUAGUUAAUUGGAAUUGGUCCCAAUUUAUGUACGACACAAAAUCCAAAUUAUAUUUUAGGCUAG